UUCCGACGCUGUAUCAGCUAAUGUUCCACUGCUAUUCACAGCAUUUUCAUGGCCAAUUUUUUCAGAAGUGGGUGGCCAGGUCCUUCUUCCUAGUCUGCCUUAGUCUGGAAGCUCUGCUGAAACGUGUCCACCAUAGGUGAUCAUGCUGGUAUUUGAAAUACCGGUGGUAUAGCUUUCAGUAUCACAGCAACACGCAACUGCCACAGAUGGG
Ceratotherium simum simum (southern white rhinoceros) is the source of this 211-nucleotide non-coding RNA. The record is from RefSeq and is a predicted model, not a curated record. Lineage: Eukaryota; Metazoa; Chordata; Mammalia; Perissodactyla; Rhinocerotidae.